This 213-nucleotide ribosomal RNA is filed under the name Triticum aestivum (bread wheat). Its description in RNAcentral is "partial small subunit ribosomal RNA". Lineage: Eukaryota; Viridiplantae; Streptophyta; Magnoliopsida; Poales; Poaceae. The record is from RNAcentral.
AUGUGUACCUCGAAAAGGGAUGGAGGCAUGGGUUUCCGCGACUUGAUAGCGUUCAAUCAGGCUCUUCUGGCUAAGCAAGCCUGGCGUGUCUUACAAUACCCGGAGGCGUUAGUGGCAAGAGUGCUCAAGGCACGCUACUUCAAAGAGGAAUCCAUUUUGAGCGCAACGUGUCCUGCUACAGCCUCAUACACUUACAGAAGUAUUCUGCAUGGC